Molecule: long non-coding RNA, 400 nt
Filed under: Piliocolobus tephrosceles (Ugandan red Colobus)
Lineage: Eukaryota; Metazoa; Chordata; Mammalia; Primates; Cercopithecidae
Description: lncRNA (ENSPTEG00000012204.1)
Source: RNAcentral
CAAAGGAGGAAGCAGGAGUUUGUGAGUCCAGUGUGGAGGAGACAAAGACUGAACUGCUGUUCCACACCUUCAGAACACUUUAGUUCCUGGAUAAUGUUAUUAGCUUUCAAGCAUGUGAUGCAUCCCAAGAGAGCUGUUGACUUCCAGUCUGACCAAAUUCUUUCACGUCGUGGCGUGUACGAUGUAUAAACGUUUUGGAAUGCCUCUGAGAUGACUUCUGCAGCCAGAAUCUCAUCCACUCUUCUGCGUCCAUUCACAUGUCCUGGGAAGGCUUCCCUGAUCACCUCAUAGAACUCGCGAGAGACCUUGUCUCACCAGAACUCUUCACCCCGAAAAUAAAGGCCACACAAAGAGACUGAGAAAAGGAACCACCGCCAGAAAAGCAACCAAAUACAGAAAC